This 75-nucleotide transfer RNA is filed under the name Jiangellaceae bacterium. RNAcentral's name for it is "tRNA-Lys". It matches the Rfam family "tRNA". From Rfam's summary of the family: Transfer RNA (tRNA) molecules are approximately 80 nucleotides in length. Their secondary structure includes four short double-helical elements and three loops (D, anti-codon, and T loops). The record is from RNAcentral. Lineage: Bacteria; Bacillati; Actinomycetota; Actinomycetes; Jiangellales; Jiangellaceae. RNAcentral also lists the same sequence under 3 other names.
GCGCCUCUAGCUCAACGGCAGAGCAGUGGACUCUUAAUCCAUUGGUUCUGGGUUCGAAUCCCAGGGGGCGCACCA